UGGGGAAUUGUUCACAAUGGGCGCAAGCCUGAUGACGCAACGCCGCGUGGGGGAUGAAGGUCUUCGGAUUGUAAACCCCUGUCGAACGGGACGAACGGCCUCUGGGCUAAUCACCAGAGGAGUGACGGUACCGUUAAAGGAAGCCACGGCUAACUCUGUGCCAGCAGCCGCGGUAAUACAGAGGUGGCAAGCGUUGUUCGGAAUUACUGGGCGUAAAGGGCGCGUAGGCGGCCAUCUAAGUCAGACGUGAAAUCCCCCGGCUUAACCUGGGAACUGCGUCCGAUACUGGAGGGCUCGAGUUUGGGAGAGGGAUGUGGAAUUCCAGGUGUAGCGGUGAAAUGCGUAGAUAUCUGGAGGAACACCGGUGGCGAAGGCGGCAUCCUGGACCAACACUGACGCUGAGGCGCGAAAGCUAGGGGAGCAAACGGGAUUAGAUACCCCGGUAGUCCUAGCCCUAAACGAUGAAUGCUUGGUGUGGCGGGUAUCGAUCCCUGCCGUGCCGAAGCUAACG
Molecule: ribosomal RNA, 511 nt
Filed under: uncultured Acidobacteriota bacterium
Lineage: Bacteria; Pseudomonadati; Acidobacteriota
Description: bacterial SSU rRNA
Rfam family: Bacterial small subunit ribosomal RNA
Source: RNAcentral